GUCUGUAGCUCAGGGGUUAGAGCAGGGGACUCAUAAUCCCUUGGUCGUGGGUUCGAUCCCCACUGGACC
RNAcentral lists this transfer RNA (69 nucleotides) under Snodgrassella alvi. It matches the Rfam family "tRNA". Rfam says of the family: Transfer RNA (tRNA) molecules are approximately 80 nucleotides in length. The record is from RNAcentral. RNAcentral also lists the same sequence under 1 other name. Lineage: Bacteria; Pseudomonadati; Pseudomonadota; Betaproteobacteria; Neisseriales; Neisseriaceae.